CUAACACAUAUAUAUGGAAUCAUUAAAAAAAAAAUGGUUCUGGCUCUGCCCCAUGAUGUACAGUCCCUUUCCACAACGUUGGAGAUGAAGCUGGGCCUUGAGUCUGCGCCUGCAUAUUCCUACAGCUUCUCAGAGUCCUGUGGACAAUGACUGAGGAGACAAACCAUGCAGAGAGACAUCU
Molecule: small nucleolar RNA, 181 nt
Organism: Lagenorhynchus albirostris (white-beaked dolphin)
Lineage: Eukaryota; Metazoa; Chordata; Mammalia; Artiodactyla; Delphinidae
Product: small nucleolar RNA SNORA73 family
Exons: 1
Source: RefSeq, a predicted model, not a curated record